UCUCACGAACACGAGCACCAUACCAGCAGCAGCGCACUCGAGUACCUUCUAGGCUCUCCGCCGCUGACCGCCGCCGGCUGCACGACGGGCCGUCGCCCGCGCCUCCCACAGCAGCACGCCACAAUGGAGGCCGAGCGCCCAUGGCGUCACCCAAGGACACCUUCUAGCCGCCGUUCUCCUUCAAAUUCGUCGGGAUCCGGCCUGAUCCGGACGGAUCCGGAUGUCGGCGGCCCAUUCCCGACCUUCCUGCCUCGCCUGGUUUGUCGGCCACUCCGAUGUCGUCAUCUUCGUCACGGGAUCCAGCGCUACCGAUGGCUGGCCUCCUCCUCGCCUGGAUGUGCCCCCCCACGCUGGCGCCUCCAAUCCGAGCAGCGGCAGCGAACACCUCGACAAGGGCGUCUCCGGCGUCAUCUUUAUUUUAAUUUUAUUUUAAAGAAGUUUGCCCGAUCAGUGGCCAGAGAAAAUAUUAGUCUCUUCUAGAACAGCGGAGACUUUCUUAAUAAGCGCAUUAAUAUAUGAAUUAUAUUCAUAAUUAUCAUAAAAAAAUUUAAGAUAGCUAAAUUUUCAGGCCUA
Molecule: long non-coding RNA, 573 nt
Organism: Triticum aestivum (bread wheat)
Lineage: Eukaryota; Viridiplantae; Streptophyta; Magnoliopsida; Poales; Poaceae
Exons: 2
Source: RefSeq, a predicted model, not a curated record